RNAcentral lists this ribosomal RNA (445 nucleotides) under uncultured bacterium. Its description in RNAcentral is "partial 16S ribosomal RNA". It matches the Rfam family "Bacterial small subunit ribosomal RNA", at positions 354 to 796 of the family's 1533-position model. The record is from RNAcentral.
GUGAGGAAUAUUGGUCAAUGGGCGAGAGCCUGAACCAGCCAAGUCGCGUGAAGGAUGAAGGUUUUAUGAAUUGUAAACUUCUUUUGCAGGGGAAUAAAGUACGGUACGUGUACCGUUUUGUAUGUACUCUGCGAAUAAGGAUCGGCUAACUCCGUGCCAGCAGCCGCGGUAAUACGGAGGAUCCAAGCGUUAUCCGGAUUUAUUGGGUUUAAAGGGUGCGCAGGCGGGUUGAUAAGUCAGCGGUGAAAGUUUGCAGCUUAACUGUAAAAUUGCCGUUGAAACUGUCGAUCUUGAGUGCAAAUGAGGUAAGCGGAAUGUGUUGUGUAGCGGUGAAAUGCUUAGAUAUAACACAGAACACCGAUUGCGAAGGCAGCUUACUGGGAAGCAACUGACGCUCAUGCACGAAAGCGUGGGGAUCAAACAGGAUUAGAUACCCGUGUAGUCC